CGAAAACUUCUGGCCCCCGCGAUCCUGGACGGGUGGAUUCCCAGCCCGGAACUGGAACGGACUCUUCUUCGUCCGAAGGAAAGCGGAGCCGAGACGGAGACGCUUCGGCGCAGCUUCGGAGAGGAGUCAGCAAUUUGGAAGAGGCUGAUUUGGAGUGGAUACUUUCAAUUAUCUGAUUGUAAGAAGAGUGCCUUCAAAAGAUUGCACAGCGUUUACAGAAUUCCUCAGCUGUGUGACGAUAGAAGCAUUGUAAUGAAUGGCAGAGUGUCAUGCAGUGGCAAAGGGCCUAUAGGAUAUUAAAGCCGUUCUGAAACUGAGUUGCUCCAGCUGGCCAGGCAACAGUCCACAAUCUCACCACGAAGACAGCGAUCUCUGCUCCUCGAUAAUAACAUGGGCAAACCAAGAAUGGGCAACUUGGAAGUCCCUGAACAGACUCAGAAGUGGAGUAUGCAGAUCAAAAGACAACCUGGCAAAAUGGCACUACCUAGAAGAAUCCUCCACCUUGUGUGACUGUGGGGCAGAACAAACAACUCAGCAUCUUUAUGCUUGCCCACAAUGCCCUGCCUCAUGUACAGAGGAAGAAUUGCUUAAAGCUACAGACAAUGCGGUCGCUGUUGCCCAUUUUUGGUCAAAAAUUAUUGAGCCGCUUGUGUUCCCUCUAUUUUUUAUCAGUUUUAUAUUUAUUUAUGCAAUGCUUUUGACUCGAAAUAAAUAAAUAACAUAUA
Anolis carolinensis (green anole) is the source of this 725-nucleotide long non-coding RNA. RefSeq lists it as uncharacterized. The transcript is spliced from 4 exons. The record is from RefSeq and is a predicted model, not a curated record. Lineage: Eukaryota; Metazoa; Chordata; Lepidosauria; Squamata; Anolidae.